AUGGCGGAAGGCGACCUAAGUGUUCUCAUGGCGGAAGGCGGCCUAGGGGUGGAGGAGGUAGUAGACGAGAGUGGCUGCUUAGAGCCUUUCUUCUACGACGAGGCGGAGGUUGUGGCCGAAGCGGCGGCAGCGGCGGAGAGGCGGCGGCGGGAGGCUGAGGAGAAGGCGGCGGAGCAUGCGCGGAAGAUGGAGAAAUUGAGGCGGAGAAAGGAAGCGCAUCAGGCCGUGAUCGACAGGAUCCGCGAGUGCGAUCCCAAGACGGGGGAAGUCUGCUACACCCGAUUCUACAACAGGGACAUGUCCAAAUUUGACAUCGACCAGGAGUUGAAGAUAGCCUCUUCGGAUAUGGGAUUUCCGUUAAAGGUGUAUGGUACCGUGAUUGCAAGAGAUUACCUCGAUUUCAAGUUGAAGGGGAGCCUUGGCGCAACGGUAAAGUUGUUGCCUUGUGACCAUGAGGUCACGGGUUCGAGUCCUGGAAACAGCCUCUUCCAGAAAUGUAGGGAAAGGCUGCGUACUGUAGACCCAAAGUGGUCGGACCCUUCCCCGGACCCUGCGCAAGCGGAAGCUACGUGCACCAGUGCAAAGGAUCAAUCGUUGAUCUUGACUGGACCAACUCGAGGACUAGUGUUACUAGAUAGUAUAUAUUUUGAGGUGGAUCUUAAGAUCAAGGAUGACCAAGGGAAGAAAGACCAAGAACUUAGCAAGGGACUGUGUGUGAUUGAUGGCAUAUUAAUGGGAGGGGAGGAACAUGGUCAUGUUGGAUGUGAAGACCUCGAUAGCAGGCUGAGCACUGUAGAGGUGAAAUUUGCAGUUGUUAAACUUGCAGUGGAGGCUACCCUUGAAAUCAAGGUUCUCAAAGGAGAUUUCUAUGGAGAAAUGACAGCUUGCACCUCCAGGAUUCAGGAUCGCCUGGUGCUUCAUGAUAGCAAAGCAGGUGGUGUAAUCUGUGAUGGUACUGGAAUGCUCCAGUUGUGGCGCCGUGUUGUAACUAUUGGAAUGAAGGAUAUGCUUUUAUUAACUAUUGCUACCCAGGCUAGUGAUGUGGCAACUGCCUCUGCUACACGAACCAUUAAUUUCACUCCACAUGUGAACGGUGCAGAGGAAGAUGAAAUUACCUGUGGUGCUGUUAAGAUGCUUAUCAAGGUCAACUGGUCCUUAUUUGAAUUGCGAACUUUGAUGCACCUAUGCUUAUAA
This 1194-nucleotide ribosomal RNA is filed under the name Triticum aestivum (bread wheat). RNAcentral's name for it is "partial small subunit ribosomal RNA". Lineage: Eukaryota; Viridiplantae; Streptophyta; Magnoliopsida; Poales; Poaceae. The record is from RNAcentral.